This 471-nucleotide ribosomal RNA is filed under the name uncultured bacterium. RNAcentral describes it as "SSU rRNA". It matches the Rfam family "Bacterial small subunit ribosomal RNA", at positions 26 to 518 of the family's 1533-position model. The record is from RNAcentral.
AGGACGAACGCUGGCGGCGUGCUUAACACAUGCAAGUCGAGCGGAAAGGCCCUUCGGGGUACUCGAGCGGCGAACGGGUGAGUAACACGUGAGUAAUCUGCCCUUAGCUCUGGGAUAGCUCCGGGAAACCGGGAUUAAUACCAGAUAUGACCACUUUAGACAUCUUUUGUGGUGGAAAGAAUUUCGGCUGGGGAUGAACUCGCGGCCUAUCAGCUUGUUGGUGAGGUAAUGGCUCACCAAGGCGACGACGGGUAGCCGGCCUGAGAGGGCGACCGGCCACACUGGGACUGAGACACGGCCCAGACUCCUACGGGAGGCAGCAGUGGGGAAUAUUGGACAAUGGGCGCAAGCCUGAUCCAGCAAUGCCGCGUGGGUGAAGAAGGUCUUCGGAUUGUAAAGCCCUUUCGGCGGGGACGAUGAUGACGGUACCCGCAGAAGAACGCCCCGGCUAACUUCGUGCCAGCAGCCGAC